RNAcentral lists this ribosomal RNA (279 nucleotides) under uncultured bacterium. RNAcentral describes it as "partial 16S ribosomal RNA". It matches the Rfam family "Bacterial small subunit ribosomal RNA", at positions 506 to 784 of the family's 1533-position model. The record is from RNAcentral.
UGCCAGCAGCCGCGGUAAUACGAAGGUCCCAAGCGUUGUUCGGAAUCACUGGGCUUAAAGAGCUCGUAGGUGGUUAAAAAAGUUGAUGGUGAAAUCCCAAGGCUCAACCUUGGAACUGCCAUCAAAACUUUUUAGCUAGAGUAUGAUAGAGGAAAGUGGAAUUUCUAGUGUAGAGGUGAAAUUCGUAGAUAUUAGAAAGAACACCAAAUGCGAAGGCAACUUUCUGGAUCAUUACUGACACUGAGGAGCGAAAGCAUGGGUAGCGAAGAGGAUUAGAUA